UACAGAGGUCCCGAGCGUUGUUCGGAUUCAUUGGGCGUAAAGGGCGCGUAGGCGGCCUCCGCAAGUCAGUUGUGAAAUCUCCGAGCUUAACUCGGAAAGGUCAACUGAUACUGCGGGGCUAGAGUGCGGAAGGGGCAACUGGAAUUCUUGGUGUAGCGGUGAAAUGCGUAGAUAUCAAGAGGAACACCUGCGGCGAAGGCGGGUUGCUGGGCCGACACUGACGCUGAGGCGCGAAAGCUAGGGGAGCGAACGGG
This 254-nucleotide ribosomal RNA is filed under the name uncultured bacterium. Its description in RNAcentral is "partial 16S ribosomal RNA". It matches the Rfam family "Bacterial small subunit ribosomal RNA", at positions 524 to 776 of the family's 1533-position model. The record is from RNAcentral.